Molecule: long non-coding RNA, 1047 nt
Organism: Amphiprion ocellaris (clown anemonefish)
Lineage: Eukaryota; Metazoa; Chordata; Actinopteri; Pomacentridae
Source: Ensembl
GCCCUGGUGGGGCCUGACAUCAUAAAAAUCUUGAAGAUUACAACUUAGCACAUGUAGCUGAGUCCUUCCAUGUUCAUAGUUUUUGUUAGCAGUUAUACUCUAAGUAGUCUGUAUCACAUAAAUAGGCCAAUGCAUGCAUAACACUGAUAUGGACAUUUGAAUAGCAACAAUUUAUUUAUUUUACCCAGCCAGGCGAUCUGCUGGGUCAAUAUCACGUCAGAUGUGCAGUAUGUUUGAGGAUCUAUGGAUUCACAAGCUCUGUUUCUUCCAAUCAGUCAAAGAAACUCCUUCAAAAUUCCUGCAAAGACAGUCUGAGACAGAGGUAGAAACCUGUACACCAAAGCUGCAUCAGAAGACUGCACCAAAAUCCCUGGAAGCUUCAUAACUGAAUCAGAAUCAGAUGAUUGAUGAUGUCUUGCAGUCUGUGAAGUAACUGGGACACUCUUCAGUCUGUCUCGAUCAUGACACCCAGUGCUGAAGCAGAUGGUCGCCCUCUUUGAGCCUGGUUCUGCUGGAGGUUUCUUUUUGUAAAAGGAAAGGUUUUUUUUGUAGAAUCAAUCCAGUCUGUAUUCAGUGAGAGAAAAAGAGUCAAAACUGUGAUUUAAAACAUUAUUUUCUGAUAACUAUCAAACAUGAAACACUUUGUUAAUGUGAAAAUUACAGUGAAAAGUGAUUUUUAAAAGUGUGCACAGUGCACAUUUUGUGAGAAUGUACUGUAAGAACCACUGUUAUAGUCAGCAGGUAACUUUUUUAAUUACAUAAUUUUCUUGAUUAAUCCAAAAAAAAAUGCUGCUCACUGGAGCUCUAGUGACAUCAAAAGUCAUGUUUUGUCCAAUAAACAUCCCAAAUCACACUAUAUUCAUCUAAUAGCAACUUAAGACCAAAAAAGGCAGCAAUUUCUUAUCCUUUAAAGUCUUGACAUAUCAAAUAUAUGGUAUUUUUUGGCUGAAAACUGUUGUUAAACUUAAUUAAUUGUCUAAAUAAUUGACUAUUCAGCUAGCAAACUAAUAGCUACAGCUCUAAUACAGAUUUACAGUAUGAUGUAUU